RNAcentral lists this ribosomal RNA (264 nucleotides) under uncultured Glomeromycotina. Its description in RNAcentral is "partial 18S ribosomal RNA". It matches the Rfam family "Eukaryotic small subunit ribosomal RNA", at positions 619 to 888 of the family's 1831-position model. Lineage: Eukaryota; Fungi; Glomeromycota. The record is from RNAcentral.
UUAAAAAGCUCGUAGUUGAAUUUCGGGAUCAGUACGUUGGUCGUGCCUUAGGUACGUACUGGUGUUACUGGUCCCUACCUUCUGACGAACCAUCAUGUCAUUAAUUUGGUGUGGCGGGGAAUCAGGACUGUUACUUUGAAAAAAUUAGAGUGUUUAAAGCAGGCUCGCGCUUGAAUACAUUAGCAUGGAAUGAUGAAAUAGGACGUUGAUCCUAUUUUGUUGGUUUCUAGGAUUGACGUAAUGAUUAAUAGGGAUAGUUGGGGG